GACGUAGGGCGCGAGCGUUGUCCGGAUUUAUUGGGCGUAAAGAGCUCGUAGGCGGCUUGUCGCGUCGUCCGUGAAAACCUGCAGCUCAACUGCAGGCUUGCGGUCGAUACGGGCAGGCUAGAGUUCGGUAGGGGAGACUGGAAUUCCUGGUGUAGCGGUGAAAUGCGCAGAUAUCAGGAGGAACACCGGUGGCGAAGGCGGCCCUCUGGACCGGUACUGACGCUGAUGCGCGAAAGCGUGGGGAGCAAACGGG
Molecule: ribosomal RNA, 253 nt
Filed under: uncultured bacterium
Lineage: Bacteria
Description: partial 16S ribosomal RNA
Rfam family: Bacterial small subunit ribosomal RNA
Source: RNAcentral